Molecule: ribosomal RNA, 253 nt
Filed under: uncultured bacterium
Lineage: Bacteria
Description: partial 16S ribosomal RNA
Rfam family: Bacterial small subunit ribosomal RNA
Source: RNAcentral
UACGGAGGGAGCUAGCGUUGUUCGGAAUUACUGGGCGUAAAGCGUGCGUAGGCGGUUAUUCAAGUCAGAGGUGAAAGCCCGGGGCUCAACCCCGGAACGGCCUUUGAAACUAGAUAGCUAGAAUCUUGGAGAGGUUAGUGGAAUUCCGAGUGUAGAGGUGAAAUUCGUAGAUAUUCGGAAGAACACCAGUGGCGAAGGCGACUAACUGGACAAGCAUUGACGCUGAGGCACGAAAGCGUGGGGAGCAAACAGG